GUGCCAGCCGCCGCGGUAAUACGAAGGGGGCUAGCGUUGCUCGGAAUUACUGGGCGUAAAGGGCGCGUAGGCGGCUUGGCCAGUCAGGCGUGAAAUUCCUGGGCUUAACCUGGGGACUGCGCUUGAUACUGCCAGGCUUGAGGCCGAGAGAGGGUGGUGGAAUUCCCAGUGUAGAGGUGAAAUUCGUAGAUAUUGGGAAGAACACCGGUGGCGAAGGCGACCACCUGGCUCGGUACUGACGCUGAGGCGCGACAGCGUGGGGAGCAAACAGGAUUAGAUACCCUGGUAGUCCACGCCGUAAACGAUGUGUGCUGGAUGUUGGGGUUCCUAGAAUCUCAGUGUCGUAGCUAACGCGGUAAGCACACCGCCUGGGGAGUACGGCCGCAAGGUUGAAACUCAAAUAAAUUGACGG
This 412-nucleotide ribosomal RNA is filed under the name uncultured bacterium. RNAcentral's name for it is "bacterial SSU rRNA". It matches the Rfam family "Bacterial small subunit ribosomal RNA", at positions 505 to 916 of the family's 1533-position model. The record is from RNAcentral.